Molecule: long non-coding RNA, 1513 nt
Filed under: Apteryx haastii (Great spotted kiwi)
Lineage: Eukaryota; Metazoa; Chordata; Aves; Apterygiformes; Apterygidae
Description: lncRNA (ENSAHAG00000003264.1)
Source: RNAcentral
CCUUCGGGGCGCGAGAUGGGCCCCGGCGGGCUGCAGGCGGCGGGCGCGCGUGUAAAGUUACGCCGGCUGCCCGGAAGUGACCGGUAGAAAACGGGGGGCGAGUCUCCUGCUUAAAGCUCUGCUGUGCCUUGUUGGUGACCCGCGGAAUAACCGGGUGCAGCACCCUCGUUUGCGAGUGUUAAAGAGCGUCCUGGAAAUGCGGCUGUUAAUGCUGUUCCGUCUGUAAAGUGCCAUCGGCUAUGGUUUUCUCAUAGGAAGACCAUUUUGAAUCAAUGUCAGGCACUUCCAGUUGUGUCCCUAGUGUAGUGUCCUUAGGGCUUUUUUGUUUGUUUUUUAGCAAGAUAGAAUUUAAAGUUCUGUACAGAAAAUAUCUUCUCAUUGCAUGACCCUAGUAUCCGGCAGUACACAAACAGGCCAGGAACUGUGGCAGGCGAAGUGCAAUUGUUGCUUUUACUGUUCACUAGGAGUUCRGAUGUACGGACACCUAACUUUUUAUUUAUCUGAAUUGUGUGGGAAUUUAUGUGAAUAAAGUUGAUUUUCCAGAURAUAAAUACAGCUGAAUAGCUCCAACUGUUAUUUAUGCCCUCUUUUGCCACCAUGGUAGCUUAGUAUCUCACAGUCAUUAAUAUAUUUUUAUCAUCACAAUAUUCCUGUAAGACAGGGAAAUGUAACCUGAUUUCACAGAAAAAUAGCUGAAGCAGAAAUCAAAAAAAAGAAAAAGAAAAUCACAGGUAGUCUCUGSUCGGUUUGAGAACUGAAACAAGGCCUUAUGCAUCUAGGACAGUGAGUCUUACKGCCCUUUAUUCAUGGCAGUUUUUGUGGUCUCAAAUAUUUUAUCUACUGUACUGCAGCUUUGACUGUAUAAUCACAUCCUUUCAAUGGUUCCUUUUAUCAGUCAGAAUUCGGGGGUUUGCGUUGCUGUUACGAUCUACCCAUGUUGGUCUUAUUUUGCAAAGUUGCAGCCCAGGGAUCAAGAGGAGCAUUUUCAUGCUCUCAUGCCACACCAGCACUUCAGUGAGCAGGGUGUGAACUCCGCCACCUCUCUGGAGGAGCUCUGAGGGCUUUUUUGAGGUUGUGAGAAGAUACCAAGAGAGAGUGUGGAGCAGCAGAGAGCACUUGUCUUGCUGCAUUGCCCUUUUUGCUGCCUCCAUAACCAUCCUGAGUCACCACUAAGGAACUUGUUACGCCAGACUGCCAGGUUAAGUUGGCAUAUUUGAAGAACAGCAGGCGAGAGAAGUGCUGAUCAUUAUGAGAUUGGGUUGGGUAGAGUGAUGGAGGGCAARAGAGACAGGGUGCAGCUCUGGGAAUGCUUGGUUCGUGGGUGAAGCUGAGAGCCAAAGUUGGGAUUACGCAGUCCAGGGUGUCUUGUGUUUGGAGAUGGAGGGACAGAAUUAAGCCUUAUACUAACAGUGAUGUUACCAUUAUUUUUCCUAUUCAAUUAUUAGUUGUUAUUUCAAGCCAAGAUUGACCUGUAAUUCUUCUUACAAUAAAAUAUGUCCUUCACUUUGGUUCA